UCCGAUAUGGUCUAGUGGCUAGGAUUUGCCGCUCUCAUUGAGAGUCAGUUCACUGAUUGUAAGUGCCGGCAAGGCCCGGGUUCGAUUCCCGGUGUCGGAA
RNAcentral lists this transfer RNA (100 nucleotides) under Dendryphion nanum. It matches the Rfam family "tRNA". Rfam says of the family: Transfer RNA (tRNA) molecules are approximately 80 nucleotides in length. Lineage: Eukaryota; Fungi; Ascomycota; Dothideomycetes; Pleosporales; Torulaceae. The record is from Rfam by way of RNAcentral.